RNAcentral lists this ribosomal RNA (526 nucleotides) under uncultured bacterium. RNAcentral's name for it is "bacterial SSU rRNA". It matches the Rfam family "Bacterial small subunit ribosomal RNA", at positions 21 to 518 of the family's 1533-position model. The record is from RNAcentral.
GGCUCAGGACGAACGCUGGCGGCGUGCCUAAUACAUGCAAGUCGAACGGUCUUUUCUAUGGAAGCUUGCUUCCACUGAAAAGAUAGUGGCGAACGGGUGAGUAACACGUGGGUAACCUGCCCAUAAGAGGGGGGAUAACAUCCGGAAACGGGUGCUAAUACCGCAUAGUUUUCUUGAUCGCAUGAUCGGGAAAGGAAAGACGGCCUUUGUGCUGUCGCUUAUGGAUGGACCCGCGGCGUAUUAGUUAGUUGGUGAGGUAACGGCUCACCAAGACGAUGAUACGUAGCCGACCUGAGAGGGUGAUCGGCCACAUUGGGACUGAGACACGGCCCAAACUCCUACGGGAGGCAGCAGUAGGGAAUCUUCCGCAAUGGACGAAAGUCUGACGGAGCAACGCCGCGUGAGUGAAGAAAGGUUUUCGGAUCGUAAAACUCUGUUGUCAGAGAAGAACAAGUUGGAGAGUAACUGCUCCAGCCUUGACGGUAUCUGACCAGAAAGCCACGGCUAACUACGUGCCAGCCGCUGC